GCUACGGGUGGCAGCAGUGAGGAAUAUUGGUCAAUGGGCGUAAGCCUGAACCAGCCAAGUCGCGUGAGGGAUGAAGGUUCUAUGUAUCGUAAACCUCUUUUAUAAGGGAAUAAAGGCCGGGACUAGUCCCCUGUUGUAGGUACCUUAUGAAUAAGGAUCGGCUAACUCCGUGCCAGCAGCCGCGGUAAUACGGAGGAUCCGAGCGUUAUCCGGAUUUAUUUGGUUUAAAGGGUGCGUAGGCGGCCUUGUAAGUCAGCGGUGAAAGGCUGGGGCUCAAACAUCGAAGAGCCGUUGAAAGUGGGAGGCUUGAGUAUGUUAGAGGUACGCGGAAUGCGUGGUGUAGCGGGGAAAUGCUUAGAUAUCGCGCAGAACCCCGAUUGCGAAGGCAGCGUGCC
RNAcentral lists this ribosomal RNA (395 nucleotides) under uncultured bacterium. RNAcentral's name for it is "partial 16S ribosomal RNA". It matches the Rfam family "Bacterial small subunit ribosomal RNA", at positions 338 to 730 of the family's 1533-position model. The record is from RNAcentral.